AAUGCGCAGAUAUCAGGAGGAACACCGAUGGCGAAGGCAGAUCUCUGGGCCGUAACUGACGCUGAGGAGCGAAAGGGUGGGGAGCAAACAGGCUUAGAUACCUGGUAGUCCACCCGUAAACGUUGGGAACUAGUUGUGGGGUCCUUUCCACGGAUUCCGUGACGCAGCUAACGCAUUAAGUUCCCCGCCUGGGGAGUACGGCCGCAAGGCUAAAACUCAAAGGAAUUGACGGGGACCCGCACAAGCGGCGGAGCAUGCGGAUUAAUUCGAUGCAACGCGAAGAACCUUACCAAGGCUUGACAUACACGAGAACGGGCCAGAAAUGGUCAACUCUUUGGACACUCGUGAACAGGUGGUGCAUGGUUGUCGUCAGCUCGUGUCGUGAGAUGUUGGGUUAAGUCCCGCAACGAGCGCAACCCUCGUUCUAUGUUGCCAGCACGUAAUGGUGGGAACUCAUGGGAUACUGCCGGGGUCAACUCGGAGGAAGGUGGGGAUGACGUCAAAUCAUCAUGCCCCUUAUGUCUUGGGCUUCACGCAUGCUACAAUGGCCGGUACAAUGGGCUGCAAUACCGUGAGGUGGAGCGAAUCCCAAAAAGCCGGUCCCAGUUCGGAUUGAGGUCUGCAACUCGACCUCAUGAAGUCGGAGUCGCUAGUAAUCGCAGAUCAGCAACGCUGCGGUGAAUACGUUCCCGGGUCUUGUACACACCGCCCGUCAAGUCAUGAAAGUCGGUAACACCUGAAGCCGGUGGCACGUAGAUCUUGCACUCGUGGCUGGAAGACUAACGACUAUGAUGCGGACCGCCCCC
Molecule: ribosomal RNA, 806 nt
Filed under: Microbacterium sp. WBQ_22S
Lineage: Bacteria; Bacillati; Actinomycetota; Actinomycetes; Micrococcales; Microbacteriaceae
Description: bacterial SSU rRNA
Rfam family: Bacterial small subunit ribosomal RNA
Source: RNAcentral